Molecule: ribosomal RNA, 517 nt
Filed under: Neohirasea nana
Lineage: Eukaryota; Metazoa; Arthropoda; Insecta; Phasmatodea; Lonchodidae
Description: partial 16S ribosomal RNA
Rfam family: Bacterial large subunit ribosomal RNA
Source: RNAcentral
CAUCUUUUCUUGAAGUUGUAUUUGAAAUUUGACCUGCCCAAUGAUUUAUUUAAUGGCCGCGGUAUUUUGACCGUGCAAAGGUAGCAUAAUCAUUAGUUUAUUAAUUGUGAACUUGAAUGAAUGGUUGGACGAAAUAUUAACUGUCUCAUAUUUAUUAUUGGAAUUUAAGAUUUAAGUUAAAACGCUUAAAUUUUUUUAUAGGACGAGAAGACCCUAUAGAUCUUUAUUAUUUAAUUUGUAUUUAUUUUUAGGUUAAAUUAUUUUUUUAUAAGUUAAAUUUUUUAGUUGGGGUGACGUUAAGAUUUAAUAAACUCUUAUUUUAUUUAUUCAAUUAUUUUUGUUUUUUUGACCUUAUAUUAUUGUUAUAAGAUUAAGAUACCUUAGGGAUAACAGCGUAAUUCUUUUUGAGAGUUCUUAUCGACAAAGGAGAUUGCGACCUCGAUGUUGGAUUAAGAUUAGGUUUAGGUGUAGAUACUUAAAUAUUAAGUCUGUUCGACUUUUAAAUUCUUACAUGAUC